This 87-nucleotide transfer RNA is filed under the name Cordylochernes scorpioides. RNAcentral describes it as "tRNA-Tyr". The record is from RNAcentral. Lineage: Eukaryota; Metazoa; Arthropoda; Arachnida; Pseudoscorpiones; Chernetidae.
CCCUCGAUAGCUCAGUUGGCAGAGUGGAGGACUGUAGAUGUUACAACGGUGAUCCUUAGGUCCCUGGUUCAAAUUCGUCUCGAAGGA